GUAAGAAUAUUUUAUAUUUUAUGUGACCUAUGUAUCUAUUGGUUUAAUAUAAAAUUCAAGUUCAUAUAUUGAUGUUUUUAGAUUCUAAUAUAAAAGAUGAUACCGUGAUGGAUCGGUUUCGAUUAAAGAGUUAGAAUCCGGGUGUAUUGAUAACCCUCCUACUUUACCUUAUAUUCAUAAAUGUCUUUAAUCUCAUAAUUAUAUGCAUAUAUGUUAUAUACAUUAAGUAAUGGUAUAUAAUAUAUAUCAGUAUACGUGUGUUACGGUUAUUAUAAUUGUGAAGAGUUGUGUUGCAACACACAACCCUUUGACUAAUAUAAAAGGCCUCGUGUGCAUUGUCUUUUAUGUAUGUAAGAAAACGAGUCUCUCUAAACACACAAAAACAACAAUACUGAUUAUCAAAAGGAGAGAUUAAGGAAGGUUUGGGAUUUCUUGUCCAUCAAGGAAAUCACCAAAAGGAGAAGGUUAAAGAGGAGAACAUCAAUUGGUGGGGUUGCAUCCAAGCAUGGAUCAAGGUUAGUGUUUCUACCUUCAUUAGAAAUGUGUUAGGGUUGAAUUAAAUCAAAUCUAGAUCAGUUCUUGGUGUAGAUUUCAUAAUUGAAAUCAUAAAAUUAUUUAACAUGUGGUAUCAGAGCCAUCUUAGAUUUAAUUAAUUCACUCACUAGGCAUUUGAAAAAUGUUAAGAACAUUCUCGGUUUAGUUCUCAUGUGCUUGUGAACAUAUACGGUUUCAUUCGUUUUAAAGAGUGUUCAUGAGAUUAGUAUAAUCCAUCGUAAUUAAGCAUACGGCACUUAAACGUAUGGUAUUUGUUAAAGUGUGCGUUGAUGAUCAUGCAUAUGAAUAUGGCAUCGUAAACGAACGUAACGAUACGACACACUCAAUCAAUCUAUGAACGAUUGUUUUAUUAUUAUAAUUACGGAAUCUUACGAUGCCAUAAAGGGCUUUAUAUGUCAGCCACUAAAUUAAACGGGUUGUUGUUGAUCAAGUUACGAAAUGAACGUAGUCAUUCACGUAAUGGAUUUUGCAAUAAAUCAAUUAAAAUCACGAUGUUUCAUGUGUGCAUAAUGGUCGUUUGUUUAAAGGUUCGACAUGAAACCUGGGUUUUACGGUAACAAACGUAAAGGCACAUGCAUGAAAGUUUCCUUAUGACGGUUAUUACCGUAAUAUUGUGAAGAGUCACUAUUACGGUUGUGACUGUAAGACUUUCACCUAAUUAGAAAGGAAAUAUUGGCCCGUUUAAUUGAUUAAUGCAUGAGUUGCAUGCAUGAAAGAGUGCUUUCUGUUAUUCAUUAACAUUUGAUAGCAUACACAUGACUGUUAAGUAAUUCUGUCUAGUAUGCAUAAACAGAAAUCAUUUAUCAAAGUAAAUGCAUAUUUGAAUUAAUA
This 1386-nucleotide long non-coding RNA is filed under the name Brassica napus (rape). RNAcentral's name for it is "long non-coding RNA (BNAP_LNC011900)". Lineage: Eukaryota; Viridiplantae; Streptophyta; Magnoliopsida; Brassicales; Brassicaceae. The record is from RNAcentral.